RNAcentral lists this ribosomal RNA (497 nucleotides) under uncultured bacterium. RNAcentral describes it as "partial 16S ribosomal RNA". It matches the Rfam family "Bacterial small subunit ribosomal RNA", at positions 28 to 507 of the family's 1533-position model. The record is from RNAcentral.
GAUGAACGCUGGCGGCGUGCCUAAUACAUGCAAGUCGAGCGAACGGACGAGAAGCUUGCUUCUCUGAUGUUAGCGGCGGACGGGUGAGUAACACGUGGAUAACCUACCUAUAAGACUGGGAUAACUUCGGGAAACCGGAGCUAAUACCGGAUAAUAUUUUGAACCGCAUGGUUCAAAAGUGAAAGACGGUCUUGCUGUCACUUAUAGAUGGAUCCGCGCUGCAUUAGCUAGUUGGUAAGGUAACGGCUUACCAAGGCAACGAUGCAUAGCCGACCUGAGAGGGUGAUCGGCCGCCUUAGAACGGAGCCAAGGACCAAGCUCAUAGGGGAGGAAGCAGUGGGGAUGCUCCCGGAAGGGGAGAACGCGCGAGGGAGAAGGCCGGGGGGAGGUAUGAUGGUCUUAGGAUUGUAAAAUUCUUUUAUUGGGGAAGAACAUAGUUGUAAGUAACUGUACAAAUUUGGGCGGUACAUGAAAGAAAGGCCAGGGGUAACUACGCC